CGGCCUUAGCGCGGUGGUCCCACCUGACCCCAUGCCGAACUCAGAAGUGAAACGCCGUAGCGCCGAUGGUAGUGUGGGGUUUCCCCAUGCGAGAGUAGGGAACUGCCAGGCA
Molecule: ribosomal RNA, 112 nt
Filed under: Escherichia coli
Lineage: Bacteria; Pseudomonadati; Pseudomonadota; Gammaproteobacteria; Enterobacterales; Enterobacteriaceae
Source: RNAcentral